RNAcentral lists this ribosomal RNA (442 nucleotides) under uncultured bacterium. RNAcentral's name for it is "partial 16S ribosomal RNA". It matches the Rfam family "Bacterial small subunit ribosomal RNA", at positions 338 to 795 of the family's 1533-position model. The record is from RNAcentral.
CCUACGGGUGGCUGCAGUGGGGAAUAUUGGGCAAUGGGCGCAAGCCUGACCCAGCAACGCCGCGUGAAGGAAGAAGGCUUUCGGGCUGUAAACUUCUUUUGACAGGGAAGAGUAGAAGACGGUACCUGUCGAAUAAGCCACGCCUAACUACGAGCCAGCAGCCGCGGUAAUACGUAGGUGGCAAGCGUUGUCCGGAUUUACUGGGUGUAAAGGGCGUGUAGCCGGUUUGACAAGUCAGAUGUGAAAUCCUGCGGCCUAACCGCCUAACUGCAUUUGAAACUGUUGAUCUUGAGUGCUGGAGAGGCAGACGGAAUGCCUAGUGUAGCGGUGAAAUGCGUAGAUAUUAGGAAGAACACCAGUGGCGAAGGCGGUCUGCUGGACAGCAACUGACGGUGAGGCACGAAAGCGUGGGUAGCAAACAGGAUUAGAUACCCUUGUAGUC